CAAAAAAAAGUGAAAUUUAGUAAUAACCUACUCCCUCAACCUACUCUUGUAAAGUAAUUUUUAUAUUUAUUUUCGCAAAAAAAAAACAGUAGAUAAAGGUGUCAUUUUUUGAAAGUGUUAUUUUGUGUAUUUCACUUUGUGCUAACCAAACAUCACCUAAUUAAAUAAAAGUGAAAUGACUAUACCAAUCAUAUUUGAUUAAUUCAACCUGAUUAAAUGUGAGAGAAAAUAAAGAAAAAGUUAAGAGUCUGACAAAUUUCAAACUCAAGAUGUUCUCCUGUUGCCAUGCCAUGUAUAAUUAUGUAAACCAAUAUUAUUUUUAAAAAAAUUAAUUAAGUUACUAUAGAAUAAUAUUUUUAAUAUUUUAUAUUCAACAUGGUGAUUAGAUUAGGAAUUCAAUAUAUGUAAGU
This 410-nucleotide long non-coding RNA is filed under the name Ananas comosus (pineapple). Its description in RNAcentral is "long non-coding RNA (ACOM_LNC003168)". Lineage: Eukaryota; Viridiplantae; Streptophyta; Magnoliopsida; Poales; Bromeliaceae. The record is from RNAcentral.